AUCCUUUUGUAGUUCAUGAGCGUGAUGAUUGGGUGUUCACAUGCCUACGUGACUUGUGCCUCCCUCAACCCUUGGUUAUGACAUCGGCACAUUACCUGUCUGACG
Molecule: small nucleolar RNA, 105 nt
Filed under: Catagonus wagneri (Chacoan peccary)
Lineage: Eukaryota; Metazoa; Chordata; Mammalia; Artiodactyla; Tayassuidae
Description: Small nucleolar RNA U13 (ENSCWAG00000009667.1)
Rfam family: Small nucleolar RNA U13
Source: Rfam by way of RNAcentral